AUUGAACGCUGGCGGAAUGCUUUACACAUGCAAGUCGAACGGCAGCACGGGGGCAGCCCUGGUGGCGAGUGGCGAACGGGUGAGUAAUACAUCGGAACGUGCCCGGUCGUGGGGGAUAACGUAGCGAAAGUUACGCUAAUACCGCAUACGAUCUGAGGAUGAAAGCGGGGGACCUUCGGGCCUCGCGCGAUCGGAGCGGCCGAUGUCAGAUUAGGUAGUUGGUGGGGUAAAGGCCUACCAAGCCGACGAUCUGUAGCUGGUCUGAGAGGACGACCAGCCACACUGGGACUGAGACACGGCCCAGACUCCUACGGGAGGGAGCAGUGGGGAAUUUUGGACAAUGGGCGCAAGCCUGAUCCAGCCAUUCCGCGUGCAGGACGAAGGCCUUCGGGUUGUAAACUGCUUUUGUACGGAACGAAAAGGCUCUGGCUAAUACCUGGGGCUCAUGACGGUACCGUAAGAAUAAGCACCGGCUAACUACGUG
This 484-nucleotide ribosomal RNA is filed under the name uncultured bacterium. Its description in RNAcentral is "partial 16S ribosomal RNA". It matches the Rfam family "Bacterial small subunit ribosomal RNA", at positions 30 to 507 of the family's 1533-position model. The record is from RNAcentral.